CAGUAGCCGCGGGAAUACGGAGGGAGCUAGCGUUGUUCGGAAUUACUGGGCGUAAAGCGCACGUAGGCGGUUAUUCAAGUCAGAGGUGAAAGCCCGGGGCUCAACCCCGGAACUGCCUUUGAAACUAGAUGACUAGAAUCUUGGAGAGGUCAGUGGAAUUCCGAGUGUAGAGGUGAAGUCCGUAGAUAUUCGGAAGAACACCAGUGGCGAAGGCGACUGACUGGACAGGUAUUGACGCUGAGGUGCGAAAGCGUGUGGAGCAAACAGGAUUAGAUACCCGUGUAGUCCCUGUCUCUUAUAC
This 301-nucleotide ribosomal RNA is filed under the name uncultured bacterium. RNAcentral describes it as "partial 16S ribosomal RNA". It matches the Rfam family "Bacterial small subunit ribosomal RNA", at positions 509 to 807 of the family's 1533-position model. The record is from RNAcentral.